CACGUAGGGCGCGAGCGUUGUCCGGAAUUAUUGGGCGUAAAGAGCUCGUAGGCGGCCUGUUGCGUCCGCUGUGAAAGCCCGGGCUUAACCCCGGGUCGGCAGUGGAUACGGGCAGGCUAGAGGUAGGUAGGGGAGAAUGGAAUUCCCGGUGUAGCGGUGAAAUGCGCAGAUAUCGGGAGGAACACCGGUGGCGAAGGCGGUUCUCUGGGCCUUACCUGACGCUGAGGAGCGAAAGCGUGGGGAGCGAACAGG
Molecule: ribosomal RNA, 252 nt
Filed under: uncultured bacterium
Lineage: Bacteria
Description: partial 16S ribosomal RNA
Rfam family: Bacterial small subunit ribosomal RNA
Source: RNAcentral